GACGUAGGGCGCGAGCGUUGUCCGGAUUUAUUGGGCGUAAAGAGCUCGUAGGCGGCUUGUUGCGUCGGCUGUGAAAACCCAUGGCUCAACCGUGGGCCUGCAGCCGAUACGGGCAGGCUAGAGUUCGGUAGGGGAGACUGGAAUUCCUGGUGUAGCGGUGAAAUGCGCAGAUAUCAGGAAGAACACCAAUGGCGAAGGCAGCUCUCUGGGACGGUACUGACGCUGAGACGCGAAAGCGUGGGGAGCGAACAGG
This 253-nucleotide ribosomal RNA is filed under the name uncultured bacterium. RNAcentral describes it as "partial 16S ribosomal RNA". It matches the Rfam family "Bacterial small subunit ribosomal RNA", at positions 524 to 776 of the family's 1533-position model. The record is from RNAcentral.